GCGGGUCCUGAGGCGCGGGCGGGGCGCCAGGCGGCCCGGACGCGGGCGCACGGGGCGGGGCCUGCACGGGGGCGGACGCAGAGCGCGACUGACGUACAACCCGACCAAUGGGUGUGCCCCGGUGCCGCUCGCCCCGCCCCUGUCGGCCAGACAAUGGGGGAAGACUGGGCCCCCGGGCUCGGCCGGGCUCGCGAAGGUGCUCCCGCCGAGCAUGCGCCGCGGCGCGGGUCCUGCCGGGAUUGUAGUCCGCGAGCCAGGCUUCCUGCGUGGGCGGCUGGGGACAAGCUUUGGAGGGGGCUGACGGGUGUUCCCGAACUUGGAGGAGGCCUUUCCUUCCUCCAGGGAGGAGCGGCGUGCCUAUUCAGAGCCUCUUUGAGAACAGGCCAGGGAUUACUGCUGACGCCAAGGACACUAAAGCCCGUGGCCAGGCUCAUUGGUGGAUGCAGAGAACCCAGGCUCAGGGGAGCCCAGGCAAGGCCAUGGACACAGGACUUUCAGUGAUAUUGGCCGCCACCAUCCUACUCUGGGAGCACUGGAAGGGAGAGCAUAUCCCUCCUUGAAAUCUCCCAGCCUCGGGUCAACCUCAGGCCAGGGAAUGACUGCUCCCUUCUUGGCAUUUCCUGGGUGAGGUGGCCUCGCCCUCCUUCUCCGCCCUCCCCCUCCUCCCUCCUCUCCUCCUCCUCCUCUGGCACUCCAGGGCCCUAGCCCAGCUCGAGGUAAGACUCAGGUCUGGCUUCAAAUCCCAAGACAUCUCCUUGCUAGCUGGAUGACCUCAAGUAAGCCACUUGUCCACCUUGGGCUUAUUUCCUCAUCUAUAAUAUGUACAAAGGACUAAAUGAGAUGAUUCAAAACAGGAGUUGAGCAUGGGGCAUGUUCCUUGAGAGCCAGCCGGCUUUAGGACUCUCUUUAGGACCUGCUGGCUGCUUCACCAUUCUUCAAACGUGCCAGACAUGUCCUACCUCAGGACCUUUGCACUCACUGAUUCCGUGCCUGGAACGCUUUUACUCUAGCACUUAGCCAAAUCCCUCACAACCUUUUGGUUUUAACUUAAAUGAUACUUGCUCAAAUAAACCUAUUUCCCUCACUCCUGAUGCCCUUUCC
This 1101-nucleotide long non-coding RNA is filed under the name Vulpes vulpes (red fox). RNAcentral describes it as "lncRNA (ENSVVUG00000030106.1)". Lineage: Eukaryota; Metazoa; Chordata; Mammalia; Carnivora; Canidae. The record is from RNAcentral.